AAUAUACUUGGUUAUGGGUUAAUAUCCGAUUUUCAUGAUUUCUUUUGAUAUUGAUUGAAUGUAAAUUUGGAAGUUAUAUGAAUUAUAGAAUCAAAGCAUGAAUGUUUGAUUUAAAAUUUUACUAGAUGAAUAUUAUUGAAAUGAAAGUUUGUUCUGAGUUGUAUUUGUUCGGUAAUGCCUCGUAACCUAAUCUGGCGACGGAUACGGGUUAGGGGUGUUAAAUUGGGGGAUAUUUCAUUGGAUAUGCCGAAAGGUCGAAAGGAUACAGUAUCUAUUGUCCAUCUCAUAGCACUAGAAUUAUGGAAUUGAGAAAUUGGUUAUCAUACAUAAC
Molecule: long non-coding RNA, 331 nt
Filed under: Gossypium barbadense (sea-island cotton)
Lineage: Eukaryota; Viridiplantae; Streptophyta; Magnoliopsida; Malvales; Malvaceae
Description: long non-coding RNA (GBAR_LNC007119)
Source: RNAcentral